UUUUUGCUUUACCCUUCCUCUUCGUUUUUCACUUUCAUGAGUCUGUGAUUUUCUCCCACUUCGUCAGCCCGUCGUUUGCUCUCAAAUCCUUUCUUUUUCUUUCACAAAAUUGUCUCAAAAGAGAUCCAGCGUUUGAUUUUCUUUGGGAUUUAGUUUCCAGUCUCUCCCGGUAUUGAAUCCUUUGUUGUUCGGUGUUUUGUUCUCAUCUUGCAAUCGUCGGGGAAGAACUUUAAGAUCGUUGUGUUCUUUUUUUUGGGGAGUUUGUUUGGGUUCUCUGUUUUGAGACAAGUUCUGCAUCUCUGUAAAUCAUUUCUCCCCAAUUGUCAUCGGCUUUCCAACCAAUUUUUGGUGCGGUCUGGGUGCGAUCUUUGUUCAUAUCAUCGUAAAAAAAAAUUUAUUUAACUCACUUUGUCGAGGCUUUUGUCGGCUAAGAGCGGAUUUUGCGUUUGGUUUAUUCCGCUGAUAAAUCUGAGAUUUAACAGGAGUUCGAAGGCUACUGUUGGUUUGGGAUGAAAAAGAGAUUCUUUGCAAGCAUCACACCAAGGCCAUCAUUUAUUCCGUUUUCCGUUAAACUACAAUAUCGGUAUUUGAUUUUCGUAUUUGAUGAACUGUUGACCUCCCAUUGGUUCUAUUAUAGAAACUUGCACCAUUUUCACAGGAGCUUCCAUAGGACCUGCUUUGUGCUGUUCCUUCGUGGGGUAACCUCCAUUGGGGAUGAAAAAACUGCAGACCACAAUCAUAACCAGUUUUUGUGUAAAGCAUUGCCUCCAAUCAUCAUUCAUUUCAAGGGUCCGAAAUACCGAUUCCGAUUGUUUUCUUCAAUGGCGUCCGAACCGAAAGAUUCUCCGGCCAACAAUCCCGGCCUCCAGGCCACCCCAGAUGAAGCCACUAGGGGUUACAUCAUGCAGCAAACUAUGUUCCGAAUUAAGGACCCGAAAGCGAGUCUCGACUUUUAUUCACGUGUUUUGGGAAUGUCGCUACUUAAGAGGCUCGAUUUUCCAGAAAUGAAGUUUAGUUUGUACUUUUUGGGCUAUGAGGAUCCUGCUUCAGCUCCAACUAACUCAGUUGAUAGAACAGUUUGGACCUUUGGUCGGAAAGCUACAAUUGAGUUGACACAUAAUUGGGGUACUGAAAGUGAUUCAGAAUUUAAAGGAUAUCACAAUGGGAAUUCAGAACCUCGUGGCUUUGGUCACAUUGGCAUCACCGUUGAUGAUACAUACAAGGCCUGUGAGAGAUUUGAAAGUCUGGGGGUGGAAUUUGUGAAAAAGCCUGAUGAUGGAAAGAUGAAAGGUAUAGCAUUCAUUAAGGAUCCUGAUGGUUAUUGGAUUGAGAUCUUUGACCUUAAAACUAUAGGAACAGUCACAGCUGAUGCUUCUUGAAUUCAUGGAACUUUAUUUUCAGGUCAGCAAUAAGCAUAGAAAAUUUCAGUCAUAGAACGGAUGUAGGAAGGAACCUUUGGAUUUCUCAGCUAUGUACAUUGGUGUGUGGGUGCUUACACUGAAGUGUGAAAUUUCAGGUAUCUGUUUCCCGCAUUCCAGAACUUUAAUGCAGGUGAGCGGAGGUGACAACUUACACACUACAUGGUUUCUCUGUUUUUCCUGAUAUAUCCGAGUCCAGAUAUAUUGGCACUUGUUCUUGUGUUUGUUUUGUUUCUCGUUGGUGUCUGGAGUUUUUGUUUUGUCUACUCGACUGUACGAACUUAAUCCUGAUGAUCUUAAUAUGUUUAUUUAAACCUUUCACAGAUCAAGUGCAACUUUUGCAAGUAUCGGUUUCUUUGUAUUGGCACCAACUGUACUAACUUUUAAUCCAAUCAUUAGUUAUUAACACUG
Malus domestica (apple) is the source of this 1829-nucleotide non-coding RNA. The record is from RefSeq and is a predicted model, not a curated record. Lineage: Eukaryota; Viridiplantae; Streptophyta; Magnoliopsida; Rosales; Rosaceae.